CUUAGCAGUAUGUACCGGGUGACCAGAAGAUUUUUUUGAUAUUCGUACAUUUCGGUACUAAAACGGUACUUUCAUUAAAGACUGAGCUACAGCUCUGAAAUUUGGGAUACGCGUACAUCUUGGCAGUAUGUACCGGAUGACCAGAAGAUUUUUUUGAAAUUUGUAUAUUUACGUAAUAAAACGUACAAAUUGCGUAACAGUUACACUUUGACAGUAAAUGUCGGCCGACUAAAGUUUCUUUUUUUCUUUAUUGGUACAUUUAAGCACUAAAACUUUCAAAAUGUUACUUUAGGAAUUAGGCUAAAGCUCUUAAAAUUGCGAUACAGUUGCACCUUAAUAAUGGGUGUAGCAUCGGGGGCAGCGAAGCGACAGGUCAUAUGAUAGUUUCUUAUAAAAAUAAAGGGUGAUUGGUUUGCUAUUAUUUUUUGGCAACGCUGGUUUAAGCAACUCACGCACGUUUCGUAUUUUGUUUCGCUGUCGAACAUCUUCAGUUUGGUCUAUAAUUUAACCAUGAAUUGUCUUAAAAAGAACAACGCUUGCAAAUGAUUGAAUUUUAUUAUCAUGGGUACGUUAAUAAGCAGAAUUGUCGAUUUUGGAGCAAAGAUCAGCUAGAAGCAUUGCAAGAGCUACCAAUGCAUAAAAAAGUCACAGUUUGGUGCGGUUUAUGGGAUGGUGGCAUCAUUGGACCAUUCUUCUUCAAAGAUGAUGCAAAUCGUAACUUAACUGUGAAUGGUGAGCGCAAUCGUGAGAUGAUAUCCAAAUUUUUUUACCUAAAGAGCUUGACUUGCAUGACAUGUGGUUUCAAGAAGACGGUGCUACAUGCCACACAGUACGCAUAACAAUGGACUUAUUGAGAGGCGAGUUCGGUGAACAUUUUUUAUUAUUGACGCAUUGGAAGAAAACAUUGAAGCAUUUAUACGUAAGAUAUCGACCGAAAUGUUGCAGAGUAUGCGAAAAUUGGACAAAGCGGAUAGACCAUUUGAGGCGCAGUCACGGUCAACAUUUGCAUGAAAUGAUCUUCAAACAUUAAAUUAUAUGAACCGUACUAACGAUUCACUCAGUUCAAAAUUACUGGCACAUAUAAAACUGCUCUCUGGGACACCUGUUUUUUCAUCGCAACAUCUAACGCCAAAGCUUGUACUUUUGCAAUAAUAUGAGUAAAAUCGGACUAUGCUAUUGUAUAUUGGGAGUUGCAAGCGCAUCUGAACCGAUUUUGAUAAAAUUGAGCAAAUGUGUGAAAAUAUUUAAUAAAACUAUCACUACAAAAUUUCCUGAAGAUCAAAAGUUGUAGCUAGUACGCCCUUAUACGUUUUAAUCCGCUGAUACAUAUAUAUAGGUGCUAUAUCUAAAUCUGAAGCGAUUUGGAUGAAAUUGAACUGAGAUUUUCAAAUAGGUAAUAGAACUUUCCAUACCAAAUUUCAUACAAAUCGGUUAAAAUUGUGGCAACUACGAAAAUUUAGGCUAUAUCUAAAUCUGAACCGAUUUUUACCUAGAUGAAAAGCGUUUGUCCCUAGGCUAAAAAAGUGAUAUGUACAUCUCUUCCAAAAAUAAUGACCUAUUACGAAUUACAAAAGAAUUAUUGCAGACCAAAUAACAAAACCUCCGAUUCACUCAACGUUUCUUGAAUGUUCAUAGGAACAUUUCUUUUGGUAUAAUUCAUACCCACCACCGUCUUCCACUUCCGAGUAUCUAAAGCGACUUUUCCAUCACCAAAAAUACCGUUCGUGAUUUUGCACAAAUAAUUCUAUUUAUAAACGUAUCUUUCUAUGAUUUAAGCGCCCUCGCGACAUUUUUCCAUUCAAUUUAGAGUUGUCCGAUCAAAGUUGAAUCGAACAGAACUCAUUGAUAUGUGCGCAGUUUGCCCUAUCGACAGUUUCAUUGGUCCAAAAAGGUGCUAUGCCAUGUAAAACUUCUCUCCAAAGAGGUGUCGCACUGCGGCACGCCGUUCGGACUCGGCUAUAAAAAGGAGGUCCCUUAUCAUUGAGCUUAAAAACUUGAUCCGGACUGCACUCAUUGAUAUGUGAGAAGUUUGCCCCUGUUCCUUAGUGGAAUGUUCAUGGGCAAAAUUUGCAUUUGCAUUUUUGAAUAAGAAUGUUAGAAUAUAAUACAAGACAUUUGAUUUGUGACUACGUCUUGAAGGACAAUAGAUCCAUGUUAGAAACCAUAAAUAAAAUGCCUUAGAAACCUUUUAAGGUUUAUUAUUGAUACAAAUUCUUAUUUAAAAAACUAAAUCCCCCUUUUACAUUUUUCUCUGUCUAUGGGACAAUUAACAUGUUUACCCGUAGACCUUUUAUGUUUGAAAACCGUGACCAUUUUAUGCUGUUAUUGGAAACUGUCUAUGUUCAUAAUAAAAACAAAUAUGCAAUAGCAGGGCCUAAAUUAUUCAGAGCAAUACGCAGCAUUUCCCGCUUUCGAAAAGGCGUUAGCAACAUACACAGGUAGCAGCUGAAAACUAUGCAAACCAUUCCCUGUCGCGCCGGGAUUACAACGCUCAGUCUGAUGUACACAUUCUCCAAGAAACGUGGUUGACGGUAACAAAAAAAAAAUUAAAAAGUGCAAGAAUAUGAAAUAAAUGACCAAGACAAAUUUGAAUACAAUUACAGGAAGAAAUUGAAUAUGAUACAGUGGUGUAAAAGGAAUUUCCAGCAUGACAGGGCCUAAAAUUUUGGUAAUCAUUAAAAAUUAAAAAAACUAAAAGUAUUCUGUUGCUUUACUGGACUUUAUUUAACUUUGUUUGGAGGAAAUUUUAAAAUUGAAAUGCCUUCUACAAUUUAUGCAAA
Long non-coding RNA from Stomoxys calcitrans (stable fly), 2780 nucleotides. RefSeq lists it as uncharacterized. The transcript has 2 exons. Lineage: Eukaryota; Metazoa; Arthropoda; Insecta; Diptera; Muscidae. The record is from RefSeq and is a predicted model, not a curated record.